GACAGAGGUCCCGAGCGUUAGGCGGAAUCACUGGGCUUAAAGCGUGUGUAGGCGGAUUUGUAAGUACCUUGUGAAAUCCCACAGCUUAACUGUGGAACUGCUUGGUAUACUGCUUAUCUUGGGCCAUUUAGGGGCGAGCGGAACAAACGGUGGAGCGGUGAAAUGCGUAGAUAUCAGGAGGAAUACCGAUGGCGAAGGCAGGUCUCUGGGCUAACACUGACGCUCAUGCACGAAAGCGUGGGGAGCAAACAGG
RNAcentral lists this ribosomal RNA (253 nucleotides) under uncultured bacterium. RNAcentral's name for it is "partial 16S ribosomal RNA". It matches the Rfam family "Bacterial small subunit ribosomal RNA", at positions 524 to 776 of the family's 1533-position model. The record is from RNAcentral.